ACGCUCGACACCUACGGGAGGCAGCAGUUGGGAAUAUUGGACAAUGGAGGAAACUCUGAUCCAGUGACGCCGCGUGAAGGAAGAAGGUCUUCGGAUUGUAAACUUAUUUUGUCAGGGAAGAAAAAAUGACUGUACCUGAAGAAAAAGCACCGGCUAACUACGUGCCAACAGCCGCGGUAAUCUGAGCGGGCUGGCAAGGC
RNAcentral lists this ribosomal RNA (200 nucleotides) under uncultured bacterium. Its description in RNAcentral is "partial 16S ribosomal RNA". It matches the Rfam family "Bacterial small subunit ribosomal RNA", at positions 328 to 539 of the family's 1533-position model. The record is from RNAcentral.